CCAACAAGAAGGGAUAUUCAGCAAUAAGCCAUAUCCACAAGCAUGUGCAAACAUUUAAUUGUAGAACUAUUUUUCUGAAUAUCGCCAUAAAUCUAUAGGUACUUAAGUACCAAAUUCAUGAAAUACCCUCCUCUUCUUUUGGUAUCUAUUUGGUGAAGCUCUACGAAUAAGGGGCAUUUUUCUUAUUAAUUCCCCCAAAGAGUCACGUCAACUCACCCUUUAUAUUUUUUAAAUCAAAUUUCACUUUUCUGGGAAGACUCUCACAGGACUCUUAGGGUACACACCCACAGCUCCGUUCUCUUCCUUUCCGACACCUGUCGCAAUGGUUGGUCAUUCUACACCUGUCCUGUGACAGGAGGACACAGUUCCAGAGAGCAGUACUUCAAAUGGGAGCAUGUGUGAGUCUAUUGUGAAGAAAACUAUGGAUACUAAAAGUCAUUGCUUAUUUGAGAGCGUGUGAACAUGCCAAACCCACUCACACAACAGAACUGGAUCAGUACCUGUGACAGAAUAAGAGCUCCAAAAGAUGUCCUCAUCCCCAGCUCUGUGAAACUCUGAGUUUGACUAUGUGGCAAGCUGGAAAAAGGUUGUUUAUAAUGAUGAUCUGCGUGGGUCCAGUGAUAUUAAAAGCAUAUGUAGGUCACAGAGAAGACAGAACAGUAAGUGUGUGGGUUUGAAAAUGCAAAGAGGCAGGAGCCAUGCAUUGGAGGGAGCCUCUAGAGUUGGGGAAGGAAGAAAGCUUCUCCACCAUAGCCCCCAGGGACACCACAGUCCUGAUGCUGUUCUAGAGAGACCCGUAUGGACCUCUGACCUCCGAAGCUGUAAGAUAGUAAGUUUGUGGUGAUUUAUCAUAGUAGCAAUGGGAAAGGAAGCCAGAAGGCAGGGGAGUACCUUGACACCCAAGGCUUUGAGAAUCUCAGGGACUCGGUGGGAAAGUGAUGGGUUCUCAUCUUGUGGCGACCUCCCUGUGUCGCUCUGACAAAGUUGCCCCAUGCCCCAAACUACAUGAUUAUUAAAAUUCAUUACUAUGUUUUCAUAACAUAGGCUAUUUUACUU
Long non-coding RNA from Peromyscus eremicus (cactus mouse), 1056 nucleotides. RefSeq lists it as uncharacterized. Lineage: Eukaryota; Metazoa; Chordata; Mammalia; Rodentia; Cricetidae. The transcript is spliced from 3 exons. The record is from RefSeq and is a predicted model, not a curated record.